This 253-nucleotide ribosomal RNA is filed under the name uncultured bacterium. Its description in RNAcentral is "partial 16S ribosomal RNA". It matches the Rfam family "Bacterial small subunit ribosomal RNA", at positions 524 to 776 of the family's 1533-position model. The record is from RNAcentral.
UACAGAGGUCUCAAGCGUUGUUCGGAUUCACUGGGCGUAAAGGGUGCGUAGGUGGUCGGGUAAGUCUGAUGUGAAAUCUCUGGGCUUAACCCAGAAAUGGCAUUGGAUACUAUUCGGCUAGAGGAGUGGAGGGGGGACUGGAAUACUUGGUGUAGCAGUGAAAUGCGUAGAGAUCAUGAGGAAGACCAGUGGCGAAGGCGGGUCUCUGGACAGUUCCUGACGCUGAGGCACGAAGGCCAGGGGAGCAAACGGG